This is a long non-coding RNA of Ornithodoros turicata, 574 nucleotides long. RefSeq lists it as uncharacterized. The transcript has 5 exons. NCBI's taxonomy places the organism in Eukaryota, Metazoa, Arthropoda, Arachnida, Ixodida, Argasidae. The record is from RefSeq and is a predicted model, not a curated record.
CUCUAUGUGAGGUGCAGUGGGGCGCACUGUUCAAUUCCGCGUGCCCAAUAUCAGAAACAGCAAGGUUCCCCAUAAAGAAUGCUGCACUAUUGGCCAAAUGGUUGGAAAGCAUGAAAGCUAGCUCAUAUGCAGUCACAAGCAUCAUGUUCAUUUUCUCACUCCACUUCGAGAAGUCAUGCUUCUACAGUGGUCUUGAGCAGUGCGUCUGAAAGAACGCGCUGUGCCAACUCUCUUCAACUUUCAGGAAGAGACUGGACAGGGUGGUACUUCUAGAGUGUCCAUUGGAGGCACUGCGUACUGCGCAGUCCCAGCCACCCUGUGUUGAUGUUCCUGCACUGGCACGGCUGCUUCCAGAAACUGAAAAUCCACCGUUGGACAGACCAAGCUGCUCUCGGGAAUCUGCAACGGGCCAGGACAGUUUAUCGAGCACUGCUGCAGAGACAGUGGAAGUAGGGCAGGACACCACCCUCUCAUUCGAGCUCUCUGAGGUCGAAUCAAUACCCGACUUGGACAGACCGAGCAGCUCGUAUCAACCAAUCGUGGAAGAUGAAAGCAGCAGAGAUGCUGAGUGGCG